This 85-nucleotide transfer RNA is filed under the name Deltaproteobacteria bacterium. Its description in RNAcentral is "tRNA-Leu". It matches the Rfam family "tRNA". Rfam says of the family: Transfer RNA (tRNA) molecules are approximately 80 nucleotides in length. Their secondary structure includes four short double-helical elements and three loops (D, anti-codon, and T loops). The record is from RNAcentral. Lineage: Bacteria; Pseudomonadati; Myxococcota; Myxococcia.
GCGAGAGUGGCGGAAUUGGCAGACGCACCAGACUUAGGAUCUGGCGCUUUACGGCGUAGGAGUUCAAAUCUCCUCUCUCGCACCA